AGAGUUUGAUCCUGGCUCAGGACAAACGCUGGCGGCGUGCUUAAUACAUGCAAGUCGAACGGUCUUACUUCGGUAAGAUAGUGGCGGACGGGUGAGUAACACGUAGAUGACCUGCCCUAUAGAGAGGAAUAACAGCCUGAAAAGGGUUGCUAAUACCUCAUAAUCUCUCUGUUGUGGGAUAGAGAGGAAACGUACUUCGGUGCGGCUAUUGGAGGGGUCUGCGGCGGAUUAGCUAGAUGGUGGGGUAACGGCCUACCAUGGCUACGAUCCGUAGCUGGUCUGAGAGGACGGCCAGCCACACUGGGACUGAGACACGGCCCAGACUCCUACGGGAGGCAGCAGUAAGGAAUAUUCCACAAUGGGCGAAAGCCUGAUGGAGCGACGCCGCGUGCGGGAGGAAGCCUUUCGGGGUGUAAACCGCUUUUCUCAGGGAUGAAACGGUGGGGUAACCCACCUAAGACAGUACCUGAGGAAUAAGCAUCGGCUAACUACGUGCCAGCAGCCGCGGUAAUACGUAGGAUGCAAGCGUUGUCCGGAUUUACUGGGCGUAAAGCGCGCGCAGGCGGCAGCUUAAGUAAGGUGUGAAAUAUCCCUGCUCAACGGGGAGGGUGCACUUUAGACUGGGCAGCUAGAGGUCGGUAGAGGGUGGUAGAAUUGCUGGUGUAGCGGUGAAAUGCGUAGAGAUCAGCAGGAAUACCCGUGGCGAAGGCGGCCACCUGGGCCGAACCUGCGCUGAGGCGCGAAGGCUAGGGGAGCGAACGGGAUUAGAUACCCUAGUAGUCC
RNAcentral lists this ribosomal RNA (783 nucleotides) under uncultured bacterium. RNAcentral describes it as "bacterial SSU rRNA". It matches the Rfam family "Bacterial small subunit ribosomal RNA", at positions 8 to 796 of the family's 1533-position model. The record is from RNAcentral.